UAAUACAGAGGGUGCAAGCGUUGUCCGGAAUCACUGGGCGUAAAGGGCGCGUAGGCGGCUUGGUAAGUAGGGGGUGAAAUCUCAUGGCUCAACUGUGAGGCUGCCUUCUAGACUGCCUGGCUCGAGCACAGUAGAGGCGAGUGGAAUUCCCGGUGUAGCGGUGGAAUGCGUAGAGAUCGGGAAGAACAUCGGUGGCGAAGGCGGCUCGCUGGGCUGUAGCUGACGCUGAGGCGCGAAAGCGUGGGGAGCAAACAGGAUUAGAUACCCUGGUAGUCCACGCUGUAAACGAUGGGUGCUAGGCGUCGGGGGGAGCGACCCCUUCGGUGCCGUCGCUAACGCAAUAAGCACCCCGCCUGGGGAGUACGGUCGCAAGACUG
RNAcentral lists this ribosomal RNA (377 nucleotides) under uncultured bacterium. RNAcentral describes it as "bacterial SSU rRNA". It matches the Rfam family "Bacterial small subunit ribosomal RNA", at positions 521 to 896 of the family's 1533-position model. The record is from RNAcentral.